Molecule: ribosomal RNA, 479 nt
Filed under: uncultured bacterium
Lineage: Bacteria
Description: partial 16S ribosomal RNA
Rfam family: Bacterial small subunit ribosomal RNA
Source: RNAcentral
GAUGAACGCUAGCGGGAGGCCUAACACAUGCAAGCCGAGCGGUAGAGUUUCUUCGGAAACUUGAGAGCGGCGCACGGGUGCGUAACACGUGUGCAACCUACCUUUAUCUGGGGGAUAGCCUUUCGAAAGGAAGAUUAAUACCCCAUAAUAUAAUGAUUGGCAUCAAUUAUUAUUGAAAACUCCGGUGGAUAGAGAUGGGCACGCGCAAGAUUAGAUAGUUGGUGAGGUAACGGCUCACCAAGUCAAUGAUCUUUAGGGGUCCUGAGAGGGAGAUCCCCCACACUGGUACUGAGACACGGACCAGACUCCUACGGGAGGCAGCAGUGAGGAAUAUUGGACAAUGGGCGAGAGCCUGAUCCAGCCAUCCCGCGUGAAGGAUGACGGUCCUAUGGAUUGUAAACUUCUUUUGUACAGGGAUAAACCUACCCUCGUGAGGGUAGCUGAAGGUACUGUACGAAUAAGCACCGGCUAACUCCGUG